Molecule: long non-coding RNA, 464 nt
Filed under: Carica papaya (papaya)
Lineage: Eukaryota; Viridiplantae; Streptophyta; Magnoliopsida; Brassicales; Caricaceae
Description: long non-coding RNA (CPAP_LNC006794)
Source: RNAcentral
UUUCAUUAUCUAGUGCUUGAGUUCCCAAAGGAAAGGGUGAAGCUUUCGGGUUUUUGAAGGAGGAGGAAGAAGGCUCUAGUGGUCUUCAGUUUGGCUCUCACUCACUCUUAAGCUUUUUUUUCUUUUGGUCGGGUGAUGGAGAAGAAGAGAAGAGAAGAAAUAAUGAAGGAAAAAAGAGAAAUAGAGUUUGAAUACCAAGGGAGGAACCAUGUGAUCCGUCGAUUACAUGGAUGGAUUUUAGGCCGUUGAUCAACCUAAGUUGAUCAACCUGUAAAGCAAGUGAGGGAGGUUGUGUGUGCACAUUAAGUGAAAACAGUUACAGACGGACACUAUAAUGGGUAGGUCUUGCCUUGAACAAGGUUUAAGGGCACUAUUUUACAGGUGUAAGUGCGAGCGUGUCCACACGCAUACUUGCUGGCUAUUUCCCACAAGGCUUGCACAUGGGAUGCCUUCCCCUCUUUUUU